UACAGAGGUGGCAAGCGUUGUUCGGAAUUACUGGGCGUAAAGGGCGCGUAGGCGGCCUUCUUAGUCAGACGUGAAAUCCCUAGGCUUAACCUAGGAACUGCGUCUGAUACUGGAAGGCUUGAGUUCGGGAGAGGAAUGUGGAAUUCCAGGUGUAGCGGUGAAAUGCGUAGAUAUCUGGAGGAACACCGGUGGCGAAGGCGGCAUUCUGGACCGAAACUGACGCUGAGGCGCGAAAGCCAGGGGAGCAAACGGG
This 253-nucleotide ribosomal RNA is filed under the name uncultured bacterium. RNAcentral describes it as "partial 16S ribosomal RNA". It matches the Rfam family "Bacterial small subunit ribosomal RNA", at positions 524 to 776 of the family's 1533-position model. The record is from RNAcentral.